This 82-nucleotide transfer RNA is filed under the name Nitrosopumilaceae archaeon. Its description in RNAcentral is "tRNA-Leu". It matches the Rfam family "tRNA". Rfam says of the family: Transfer RNA (tRNA) molecules are approximately 80 nucleotides in length. Their secondary structure includes four short double-helical elements and three loops (D, anti-codon, and T loops). Further hydrogen bonds mediate the characteristic L-shaped molecular structure. tRNAs have two regions of fundamental functional importance: the anti-codon, which is responsible for specific mRNA codon recognition, and the 3' end, to which the tRNAs corresponding amino acid is attached (by aminoacyl-tRNA synthetases). tRNAs cope with the degeneracy of the genetic code in two manners: having more than one tRNA (with a specific anti-codon) for a particular amino acid; and 'wobble' base-pairing, i.e. permitting non-standard base-pairing at the 3rd anti-codon position. The record is from RNAcentral. Lineage: Archaea; Thermoproteati; Nitrososphaerota; Nitrososphaeria; Nitrosopumilales; Nitrosopumilaceae.
GCGGGUAUUGCCGAGUGGCCAAAGGCGCUAGCUUGAGGGGCUAGUCUCUAGGAGUUCAUGGGUUCAAAUCCCGUUACCCGCA